This 164-nucleotide ribosomal RNA is filed under the name uncultured bacterium. Its description in RNAcentral is "partial 16S rRNA". It matches the Rfam family "Bacterial small subunit ribosomal RNA", at positions 355 to 510 of the family's 1533-position model. The record is from RNAcentral.
UAGGGAAUCUUCGGCAAUGGGGGCAACCCUGACCGAGCAACGCCGCGUGAGUGAAGAAGGUUUUCGGAUCGUAAAGCUCUGUUGUAAGAGAAGAGCGUGUGUGAGAGUGGAAAGUUCACACAGUGACGGUAACUUACCAGAAAGGGACGGCUAACUACGUGCCA